CCUUGACAUGCCACUAACGAAGCAGAGAUGCAUUAGGUGCCCGUAAGGGAAAGUGGACACAGGUGCUGCAUGGCUGUCGUCAGCUCGUGUCGUGAGAUGUUGGGUUAAGUCCCGCAACGAGCGCGGGGGGGGGCAUUAAUCGCCAUCAUUGAGUUGGGCACUUUAAUGGGACUGAAAAAAGACAAACCGGAGGAAGGUGGGGAUGACGUCAAGUCCUCAUGGCCCUUAUGGCCAGGGCUUCACACGUAAUACAAUGGUCGGUACAGAGAGUUGCCAACCCGCGAGGGGGAGCUAAUCUCAGAAAGCCGAUCGUAGUCCGGAUUGUUCUCUGCAACUCGAGAGCAUGAAGUCGGAAUCGCUAGUAAUCGCGGAUCAGCAUGUCGCGGUGAAUUUUUCGUAAAAGGCCUUGUACACACCGCCCGUCACACCAUGGGAGUGGGUUUUACCAGAAGUAGGUAG
Molecule: ribosomal RNA, 459 nt
Filed under: uncultured Methylophilus sp.
Lineage: Bacteria; Pseudomonadati; Pseudomonadota; Betaproteobacteria; Nitrosomonadales; Methylophilaceae
Description: bacterial SSU rRNA
Rfam family: Bacterial small subunit ribosomal RNA
Source: RNAcentral